UACGUAGGGGGCAAGCGUUGUCCGGAAUUAUUGGGCGUAAAGGGCGCGCAGGUGGUGGUUUAAGUUUGGUGUUUAAUCCCAGGGCUCAACCCUGGUUCGCACUGAAAACUGGAUCACUUGAGUUCAGAAGAGGAGAGUGGAAUUCCACGUGUAGCGGUGAAAUGCGUAGAUAUGUGGAGGAACACCAGUGGCGAAGGCGACUCUCUGGUCUGAUACUGACACUGAGGCGCGAAAGCGUGGGUAGCAAACAGG
RNAcentral lists this ribosomal RNA (252 nucleotides) under uncultured bacterium. RNAcentral describes it as "partial 16S ribosomal RNA". It matches the Rfam family "Bacterial small subunit ribosomal RNA", at positions 524 to 776 of the family's 1533-position model. The record is from RNAcentral.